RNAcentral lists this ribosomal RNA (491 nucleotides) under uncultured bacterium. RNAcentral describes it as "partial 16S ribosomal RNA". It matches the Rfam family "Bacterial small subunit ribosomal RNA", at positions 28 to 507 of the family's 1533-position model. The record is from RNAcentral.
GAUGAACGCUAGCUACAGGCUUAACACAUGCAAGUCGAGGGGAAACGAUGAGAGAGCUUGCUCUCUUAGUCGUCGACCGGCGCACGGGUGAGUAACGCGUAUCCAACCUGCCUCUGACCAAGGGAUAACCCGUCGAAAGUCGGACUAAUACCUUAUGCAGUCGUCGGAAGUCAUCUGAUGACGACGAAAGAUUUCAUCGGUGAGAGAUGGGGAUGCGUCUGAUUAGCUUGUUGGCGGGGUAACGGCCCACCAAGGCGACGAUCAGUAGGGGUUCUGAGAGGAAGGUCCCCCACAUUGGAACUGAGACACGGUCCAAACGCCUACGGGAGGAAGCAGUGAGGAAUAUUGGUCAAUGGGCGUAAGCCUGAACCAGCCAAGUAGCGUGCAGGAUGACGGCCCUAUGGGUUGUAAACUGCUUUUAGGCGGGGAUAAAGUGAGGGACGUGUCCUUCAUUGCAGGUACCGCAUGAAUAAGGACCGGCUAAUUCCGUG